Molecule: long non-coding RNA, 340 nt
Organism: Rosa chinensis
Lineage: Eukaryota; Viridiplantae; Streptophyta; Magnoliopsida; Rosales; Rosaceae
Exons: 4
Source: RefSeq, a predicted model, not a curated record
UGAAAGUAAAAUUUUCUAUGUUAACUGAUGAAUGCCUCAGGGACUUAAAAAUUUCAAUAAAGCUGUCAGGGUACUUAUCAUUUGCCUUAAGAAGAUUGAUAAUGACAACUAUCUUGAGAAAAUGAUAGAUCAAGGCUUUUGAGUAGCAGAUGAUUAGAUUAAAGCCCUGAAGUCUGGAAUUCAAUGGAUGGACAGCUCAAGAUAUUCUUGAAACUCCAAGCAGCUCAAUUAUAAAUAAGUUGACAGAGGACUCAGCUCAGGAGGGCCAAGCCUGGAGCAUGUGGAGGAAGAUAAACAGCUCAUGAAUGGCGAAGUCCAAUAUAUUAGAGAAGAAGGAUGU